Molecule: microRNA precursor, 145 nt
Filed under: Paramuricea clavata
Lineage: Eukaryota; Metazoa; Cnidaria; Anthozoa; Malacalcyonacea; Plexauridae
Source: RNAcentral
AAGGUUCACGGACGGUAAAUUUUAAAUUUAAAUCUCGCGCCUAAUUGGAUAAAGCGGUACCACCUUGCGAGAUGUCACUUGAUUGAAUUACGCUUAUCCAAUUAGGCGCGAGAUUUAAAUUUAAAAUUUACCGUCCGUGAACCUU